GACGAACGCUGGCGGCGUGCUUAACACAUGCAAGUCGAACGGGUCUGCCCUGUUUUUUGCGGGGUGGGUCAGUGGCGAACGGGUGAGUAACACGUGAGUAACCUGCCCCUCACUUCUGGAUAACCGCUUGAAAGGGUGGCUAAUACGGGGUGUUCUGGCUGUGCCGCAUGGUGUGGCUGGGAAAGAUUCACUUUUGUGGUGUUUUGGUGGGGGAUGGGCUCGCGGCCUAUCAGCUUGUUGGUGGGGUGAUGGCCUGCCAAGGCUUUGACGGGUAGCCGGCCUGAGAGGGUGGGCGGUCACACUAGGACUGAGAUACGGCCCAGACUCCUGCGGGAGGCAGCAGUGGGGGGUAUUGCACAAUGGGCGGAAGCCUGAUGCAGCGACGUCGCGUGAGGGAUGGAGGCCUUCGGGUUGUGAACCUCUUUCGCCGGUGAAGAAGGUCCUGCUCUUUGGGGUGGGGUUGACGGUAGCCGGGUUAUGAAGCGCCGGCUAACUACGUG
Molecule: ribosomal RNA, 500 nt
Filed under: uncultured bacterium
Lineage: Bacteria
Description: partial 16S ribosomal RNA
Rfam family: Bacterial small subunit ribosomal RNA
Source: RNAcentral